AGCUGGAAACUGUCAUAAAAUC
Molecule: microRNA, 22 nt
Filed under: Heligmosomoides polygyrus
Lineage: Eukaryota; Metazoa; Nematoda; Chromadorea; Rhabditida; Heligmosomidae
Description: hpo-miR-60a-5p
Gene: hpo-miR-60a-5p
Source: miRBase by way of RNAcentral